GGGCAUUGAUAUUAGUUUGUGUUUCGACCACAAAUAUGGCUUUUGCCCAGUGUCCG
This 56-nucleotide transfer RNA is filed under the name Breviscolex orientalis. Its description in RNAcentral is "tRNA-Arg". The record is from RNAcentral. Lineage: Eukaryota; Metazoa; Platyhelminthes; Cestoda; Caryophyllidea; Capingentidae.